ACGGGAACUCCUCAGUGGAGUAUUUGAAACCAAGUCACUUCAAAUACUCACAUUCUGAUUACAACAACCCCCUGUUUCAGGGGAGCUGGAGCCAUGCUGGCCUCACCCACCCCAUGUCUCUAGCUCCUAAAGCCGUGAUGGGCGUGUGGCAGGUGCAGUGAAUCCUCGUUGAAUUAAAAUGAGUAAUUUUCAACAACCCUAACCUGUGCGGUUUCUCUCCCGUCAGCCUCUGUUCUGUAUAGAUGAUUCUCACUCUGAGUGACUUAUUAAGCACCUGCUGUGUGCCCCGCCCUCUGAGAGGUAUUCUAGGGAGCAAAGGAGGGGUGAGGACCCCCAGUGGGUUUAACUCACUCUUCCUGGAAACUGUGUGAAGAGGAAGAGCGAGAAGAUAGAAUUCCGAGUGCCCUGUACUCAUUUACUCCUUAAAUGGCAGAAUAAGCUUACCUAGCGGGGAUUUACCACAUCUGACCAUAGCUCCAAGGGCAGAGGUUAAAUCUUCCUUGGGAAUUUGCUUGAAGCGGCAGAGUGGCCCCAGGUCAGACAGACUCUAGGUUAGACUUCUGGGUCUGGUUUCUCCCAAGUACAAAGAGAGCUCAUUACACCCACCUCUAGCGGUUUAUGUGUGCGGACACCCCCUCUUCUCCUCACAGACUCUCUGGCCCAGCCUUGCCCACCGGGUCGCACCACGGAAGCUAAGGGACCUGAUGGAGAGCCCGGGGUGGGGGAGGGGGGGUGUUGGGUCGUGGGCGUCAGGUCUCCCCUGUGCUCUCGCCCUGCAGGAGAGAUGGGGUCUCUGGCUGCGUGGGCCCCACGCGGAGCCACCGCACCUGCCGCACUGAGAGCUGCCCGGAAGGCGCCCGAGACUUCCGGGCGGAGCAGUGCUCAGAGUUCGACGGCCAGGAGUUCCAGGGGCGGCGGUACAAGUGGCUGCCCUACUAUGCGGGUGAGUGACCGAGCCCCUGGCGCCGCCCCGCCCUGCGUUGUCCAGCAGGGCCUUGUAUUUGGGGCAUCUCUUUUGUACAUUCACUUUGUAUCUCACAAUUCUCAUUACCAUAUUGGAGACUGUUAUCAAAUAUCUUUAAAGGAAAACCUCCCAUACCCCUAGCACAGCACAACGGUGGGCGUUUUGAGGGUUUUUUCCCCCUUCCCCCCCUCUAUAUAUUUCUCCAUUUCCUUUUUUCUUUCCUUUUUCUUUUCAUGGCCGCAUCUGGCUUUUGGAAGUUUCCCAGCUGGGGGCCGGCCGGGGUGGGGUGCGGUGCGAAUCAGAGUUAACAGCUGCUGGCCUGCUUCAUAGCAAUUCGGAUCCGCGCUGCAACCUACACACAGCCUGCGGCAACACCAGAUCCCUAACCCACCAGAGCAAGGCCAGGGCUCCAUCCUCACAGAAGUUCAGAACUCCUGUAUACAUUUUCAAACAAAGCCAUGGCUAUGUCUGUGUUUUGAGCCUUGUUUUGUUUGUCGUGCUCCUGAAGCAUCCCCCACGUGGCAGGAGUUGGGGUGGGGGUGCAGGAUCUGUGACUGGGCAAACUGCAGGCUGGGCUUCAAUGGGCUUGGUGUGUCAAGAGUGUGUUUACUUAGCAUCUCUAGUGUGGGAGACUGUGCUUUGAGUAACUUUGAGGGGGGUGUAGGUCAUUCAUUUUUAGAGCAAUAUAGUUCAAGAGAAAAACACUGAUAUGCAUGCAAUGAAAACGUUUUGGAUGAGUCAGAAGAUACCUUAGGAUAAUCCUUUGGAGUAUUAGUUUUCACUGCUCACUGUAAAUGACUCCUGGAAGCUAUGGCACUCUGGGUUCCAAAUCAGUGAACAUUAGAUCCUGUGUGUGCUGUGGGGUGGAGGAGAGAGAGGGUCUUGGCUAGGUGGAGUGGCCCCAAUGCGGUGAUUUGCCCUCACUGCUCCCCCUGGAUCCGGAGAUGAGCAUAUGUUGAAAAUAAGUUAAAUAUAUCUACAUUAUAGAAAAACUAGAACAGAAGAAAAGGUUAAAAAGGGUCUUAGAGGGAGUUCCCUUCAUGGCUCAGCGGUUAACGAAGCCAACUAGGAUCCCUGAGG
This 2044-nucleotide long non-coding RNA is filed under the name Sus scrofa (pig). RNAcentral's name for it is "lncRNA (ENSSSCG00040036040.1)". Lineage: Eukaryota; Metazoa; Chordata; Mammalia; Artiodactyla; Suidae. The record is from RNAcentral.